AUUGAACGCUGGCGGCAGGCCUAACACAUGCAAGUCGAACGAGCGGCGGACGGGUGAGUAAUGUAUGGGGACUGCCCGAUAGAGGGGGAUAACUACUGGAAACGGUGGCUAAUACCGCAUACUAUCGGAUAACCCAUAUGGGAUUAGCUAGUAGGUGGGGUAAAGGCUCACCUAGGCGACGAUCUCUAGCUGGUCUGAGAGGAUGAUCAGCGACACUGGGACUGCGAUAGGGACCAAUAGCCUACGGAGGCAGCGGUGGGGAAUAUUGCACAAUGGGGGAAACCGUGAUGCAGAGACGCCGCGGGCGUGAAGACGGGCUUCGGGUUGUAAACCGCUUUCAGCCAUGACGCGGUAGUGGCAGAAGAAGCACCGGCUAACUCCGUGCCAGCAGCCGCGGUAAUAC
RNAcentral lists this ribosomal RNA (403 nucleotides) under uncultured bacterium. RNAcentral's name for it is "partial 16S ribosomal RNA". It matches the Rfam family "Bacterial small subunit ribosomal RNA", at positions 29 to 526 of the family's 1533-position model. The record is from RNAcentral.